CAUGGCUCUAGUUGGCUGAAUUGGGCUAAGUUAAAUUUUAGCAUUUGGUCCCUUUCAACCAACUAUUGGCCAGUC
Non-coding RNA from Cordylochernes scorpioides, 75 nucleotides. Lineage: Eukaryota; Metazoa; Arthropoda; Arachnida; Pseudoscorpiones; Chernetidae. The record is from the annotation of a GenBank genome assembly.